CCCUAUAGGUAGAGAGCUGCUAG
This 23-nucleotide non-coding RNA is filed under the name Cricetulus griseus (Chinese hamster). The record is from RNAcentral. Lineage: Eukaryota; Metazoa; Chordata; Mammalia; Rodentia; Cricetidae.